AGCGAACGCUGGCGGCAGGCCUAACACAUGCAAGUCGAGCGGCCGUAGCAAUACGGCAGCGGCAGACGGGAGAGUAACACGUGGGAACGUGCCCUUUGGUUCGGAAUAACGCAGGGAAACUUGCGCUAAUACCGAAUAAGCCCUUACGGGGAAAGAUUUAUCGCCAUUGGAGCGGCCCGCGUCUGAUUAGCUAGUUGGUGGGGUAACGGCUCACCAAGGCGACGAUCAGUAGCNGGUCUGAGAGGAUGAUCAGCCUCACUGGGACUGAGACACGGCCCAGACUCCUACGGGAGGCAGCAGUGGGGAAUAUUGGACAAUGGGCGCAAGCCUGAUCCAGCAAUGCCGCGUGAGUGAGGAAGGCCUUAGGGUUGUAAAGCUCUUUCACCCACGACGAUGAUGACGGUAGUGGGAGAAGAA
RNAcentral lists this ribosomal RNA (417 nucleotides) under uncultured bacterium. RNAcentral's name for it is "bacterial SSU rRNA". It matches the Rfam family "Bacterial small subunit ribosomal RNA", at positions 29 to 489 of the family's 1533-position model. The record is from RNAcentral.